Molecule: ribosomal RNA, 76 nt
Filed under: Carlito syrichta (Philippine tarsier)
Lineage: Eukaryota; Metazoa; Chordata; Mammalia; Primates; Tarsiidae
Source: RNAcentral
GCCUGAGGCUAAGCAGGGUUAGUCCUGGUUAGGUCUUGGCUGGGAGACCACCUGAGACUACCAGGUGCUGUAGGUU